Molecule: ribosomal RNA, 434 nt
Filed under: uncultured bacterium
Lineage: Bacteria
Description: bacterial SSU rRNA
Rfam family: Bacterial small subunit ribosomal RNA
Source: RNAcentral
GACGAACGCUGGCGGCGUGGAUUAGGCAUGCAAGUCGAGCGGGCGUAGCAAUACGUCAGCGGCAGACGGGUGAGUAACGCGUGGGAACGUACCUUUUGGUUCGGAACAACACAGGGAAACUUGUGCUAAUACCGGAUAAGCCCUUACGGGGAAAGAUUUAUCGCCGAAAGAUCGGCCCGCGUCUGAUUAGCUAGUUGGUGAGGUAAUGGCUCACCAAGGCGACGAUCAGUAGCUGGUCUGAGAGGAUGAUCAGCCACAUUGGGACUGAGACACGGCCCAAACUCCUACGGGAGGCAGCAGUGGGGAAUAUUGGACAAUGGGGGCAACCCUGAUCCAGCCAUGCCGCGUGAGUGAUGAAGGCCCUAGGGUUGUAAAGCUCUUUUGUGCGGGAAGAUAAUGACGGUACCGCAAGAAUAAGCCCGGCUAACUUCGUG